UCAGAAUGUUCAGAGAAAAUUUAAAAGUAGCAUUCCCAUAAUGUUUGCAAAAUGAUUUAACAGAAACUGAAUGUUUUAAGCGUUCAGAGAUUGAUCAUAAAUACUUUAA
Sinocyclocheilus rhinocerous is the source of this 109-nucleotide long non-coding RNA. RefSeq lists it as uncharacterized. The record is from RefSeq and is a predicted model, not a curated record. NCBI's taxonomy places the organism in Eukaryota, Metazoa, Chordata, Actinopteri, Cypriniformes, Cyprinidae. The transcript is spliced from 3 exons.